GACCUCCGGGAAAGUGCAUAGAGAUAUACCGCCGCUUAUGCGGUAAGGGUGGAAAGGCGAGGUAAGAGCUCACCGGGUUGUCGGUAACGGCAAUGCCAAGUAAACCCUACCCGAUGCAACAUCGAGCGAAGUUGUCAGCUGGGCAGAUACUUCAAAGGAUGGCUUGAGCUUAUCGGUAACGGUAAGCGUAGAUAGAUAAUUGCUUUCAAUGACAGAACUCGGCUUACAGAUUUACUCACAAU
RNAcentral lists this RNase P RNA (242 nucleotides) under Clostridiaceae bacterium. RNAcentral's name for it is "partial RNase P RNA component class A". It matches the Rfam family "Bacterial RNase P class A", at positions 96 to 367 of the family's 367-position model. Rfam says of the family: Ribonuclease P (RNase P) is a ubiquitous endoribonuclease, found in archaea, bacteria and eukarya as well as chloroplasts and mitochondria. Its best characterised activity is the generation of mature 5'-ends of tRNAs by cleaving the 5'-leader elements of precursor-tRNAs. Cellular RNase Ps are ribonucleoproteins. Lineage: Bacteria; Bacillati; Bacillota; Clostridia; Eubacteriales; Clostridiaceae. The record is from RNAcentral.